AAGAAAUUAGCUUAAUUGGUAGAGCAUUCAUUUUACACGCGGCAGGUUAAGUGUUCAAAUCACUUAUUUCUUA
Stagonospora sp. is the source of this 73-nucleotide transfer RNA. It matches the Rfam family "tRNA". Rfam says of the family: Transfer RNA (tRNA) molecules are approximately 80 nucleotides in length. NCBI's taxonomy places the organism in Eukaryota, Fungi, Ascomycota, Dothideomycetes, Pleosporales, Massarinaceae. The record is from Rfam.